GAUAAGAAUUUAAGAGUCAAUGUGGAUACAUUAUCUUGUAAAUUUUUUCAUCUAAUUGUAGAAAAAAGGUAUAAAUUCAUUGUAUCACUUAAAAAAAUAUAUAGCCUUAGGAUAGGAGUUAGCAACAUCACACAAUACUAAAUUUAAGUUAGGACAUCUACAUGGUGUGUAAAAUGUUCUAGCAUUUAUAUCCAAUAAUCUUCUUUGUAUACCUUGAUGUUUUUCUUUCAUAUUAGACAUGUUGUCAUACUCUUGUCCUCUUAUAUCAUUAACCUCAAAUUUAUAUUUUUCUAUUAUAUUUAUAAGUUCACUAAAAAGGUGAGGUAUCAUAUACUUCUAAAAAUUCUAAAAAAUAUUCUUUUACUUUUACUGGACUUGUUACAGUAUUUACACAUAUUAAAACUAGGGUCAUUUAU
RNAcentral lists this long non-coding RNA (416 nucleotides) under Phoenix dactylifera (date palm). Its description in RNAcentral is "long non-coding RNA (PDAC_LNC004287)". The record is from RNAcentral. Lineage: Eukaryota; Viridiplantae; Streptophyta; Magnoliopsida; Arecales; Arecaceae.